Molecule: ribosomal RNA, 969 nt
Filed under: uncultured soil bacterium
Lineage: Bacteria
Description: SSU rRNA
Rfam family: Bacterial small subunit ribosomal RNA
Source: RNAcentral
UGCCCAACUUUCCGACUAACUGGGCGUAAGGCAUGCAGCCGUCAGCCGUCCUGUUGGACAGCCGAUGCCUAGCUAUCCGAGAUCGAGCAUACGCGGUACUGAGAUCGCGAGAGGACACUAUCAGGGUGGUAGUGGUGAUAUGCGUAGUGAUCCGGAGUACACGAAGUGCGAAUGCUAGUGUCCGUGCUCCGUAUGUGACGCUGAGGUGCGAAAUUCCAGGGGAGCGAACGGGAGUAGAUACCCCGGUAGUCCUGUCGGUAAACGAUGAGCACUAGGUGUAGGAGGUAUCGACCCCUUCUGUGCCGGAGGAAACCCACUAAGUGGUCCGCGUGGGGAGUACGGUCGCAAGAUUAAAACUCAAAGGAAUUGACGAGGACCCGCACAAGCAGCGGAGCGUGUGGUAUAAUUUGAUGCGACGCGAAGAACCUUACCAGGGUUUGACAUGUUCUUGCACCACCAGGAGACUGGUGUCCCUUCGGGGCGGGCACACAGGUGCUGCAUGGCUGUCGUCAGCUCGUGCUGUGAGGUGUUGGGUUAAGUCCCGCAACGAGCGCAACCCCUGUCGUCGGUUAGGAUGUCCGGCGAGACUGCCACGCUAAACGUGGAGGAAGGUGGGGAUGACGUCAAGUCAGCACGGCCCUUACGUCUUGGGCGACACACACGCUACAAUGGUCGCGACAGCGGGAAGCGAACCGGUGACGGGGAGCCAAUCCAAUCAAACGCGAUCUCAGUUCGGAUGGCAGGCUGCAACCCGCCUGCCUGAAGCCGGAGUUGCUAGUAACCGUGGGUCAGCACACCACGGUGAAUACGUUCCCGGGUCUUGUACACACCGCCCGUCACACCACGAAAGUCGGCAACACCUGAAGCCGCUGGGCUAACCUCAUUAGAGGAGGCAGGCGUCGAGGGUGGGGUUGGUGAUUGGGGUGAAGUCGUAACAAGGUAACCAAUGGCGAUCUGCAGAAGCCAGUG